AUGGAGGCUUGGGCAGAGACGUGACCCAGCGUCAGAAAGUCGGGGGAGGCUUUCCUUCCUGUGUCCCAGAGCUUCACCGGUGCAGCCAGCCGGGGGCGGGGGCGGGGGCGCUGGAGGUGGAGGGUGGGGUCUGACAACUUCUGCUGGGGCAGCCUCGGGAGGGGAGGGGAGCAGGCACUGGGCAGGGGCCUAAGUGCACUUUGUCCUUGCCACCAAUGGCGGGAGGAGGGUGGACCUGAACACCUCUAGCAGGGUGUUGCGCGCCUGCCCCAGCCUCUCAGGUACUUGGCCCUUGGGGAGGAGAGAGGGGGGUCUGGUUUUUGCUGGGGGUGAGUUUCCGGGACACUCCCAAAGCCCACAGAUAAUCCCUGGUGUGGGAAGAGGAGUCCUGGAUACCUUGAUGUUUAGCACUUUAACCCCCUUUGUCUUUAAGGUAGGCGUGGGGGCUACUGUCAGAAGUGGCUGUUGGGUCGGACCCCUCCUUUCUGCCCUCCCUCUCCCACAUGCUGGUCUGCAGAGCCCUCCUCCCAAGGGGUAGGGCCCUGGGUGGAGCUCAGCAGGGUCUGCCCACUCCCUAUGCUGGCCCACAUAGGCCUCCAGGAGCCCUCAGUGAGAGGGACCAGCAUAGCAGACCCCUAGAGUGUGGUGGGCGUCGGCCCUGCCCGGGACGCAGUCGGUGCCCUUUCCGCAGCUCUACCUCUGGCUCAGCGCACGCCCCCUGCCCUGAGAACAGGAAAGGGCCCGGAAGGGCUGACUCACCGGGCCGACACUCACGAAAAUGGGAUGCACUUUAUUUGCUGGUGCAAAGGCAAGAGAGGGUGCCUCCUGUGUGACCGUUGACCCUCCUGCCUGGUGGCGCUGAAGGGAAGGAGCCAGUGAGGCUGACCCCGGGAGGGGCCGUCCCCGUGUGCCCUGUUUGGCGGGCCCCAGGCGGCUCCCCCAGGCCCGGGUCUGGGGCCCCAGGUUCUCCCCUGCCUGGCGGCCGCGCGUCCUGUGCUUUGGGUUUCUUGGUUUGGGUUUUUUAAUGCCAGUUCUCAGUACAUAAGUGCAUUUUGAAAGAGGUUCCAGCUAUCACUUGUAACCAUAUAUAUAUACAUAUAUAUUCUAUCUACAAAGUGUUUAUUUGCGAGAUGUUUCGACGGUGAGUUCGGGCCCCGCCCGCCUUGUGACCAUCUGUCCCCGGUCUUCGUCCCCGCCCCGCGCCCUGGUCCCGAGUGGCGUGGGGACGGGCCAUCACUGUAUGUAUUAAAAUGACUGUAUCAAAUAAAUGUUUAUCGAUUUUUUUCCAGGG
RNA transcript from Rhinopithecus roxellana (golden snub-nosed monkey), 1291 nucleotides. RefSeq lists it as uncharacterized. The record is from RefSeq and is a predicted model, not a curated record. NCBI's taxonomy places the organism in Eukaryota, Metazoa, Chordata, Mammalia, Primates, Cercopithecidae. The transcript has a single exon.